Molecule: ribosomal RNA, 472 nt
Filed under: uncultured bacterium
Lineage: Bacteria
Description: bacterial SSU rRNA
Rfam family: Bacterial small subunit ribosomal RNA
Source: RNAcentral
GGAACGCUGGCGGCGUGCCUAACACAUGCAAGUCGAACGGAGAUUCAGAUGAAGCUUGCGAUUCUGAAUCUUAGUGGCGAACGGGUGAGUAACGCGUGAGCAACCUGCCCUUGAGAGGGGGAUAACAUCGGGAAACCGAUGCUAAUACCGCAUAAAAUAUGCAGAUGGCAUCAUUGGCAUAUCAAAGGAGAAAUCCGCUCAAGGAUGGGCUCGCGUCUGAUUAGAUAGUUGGUGAGGUAACGGCCCACCAAGUCGACGAUCAGUAGCCGGACUGAGAGGUUGACCGGCCACAUUGGGACUGAGACACGGCCCAGACUCCUACGGGGGGCAGCAGUGGGGGAUCUUGCACAAUGGGCGAAAGCCUGAUGCAGCGACGCCGCGUGAGCGAAGAAGGCCUUCGGGUUGUAAAGCUCUGUCUGGAGGGACGAACAAAAUGACGGUACCUCCGGAGGAAGCCACGGCUAACUACGUG